CCUACGGGGGGCAGCAGUGAGGAAUAUUGGUCAAUGGCCGCAGGGCUGAACCAGCCAAGUCGCGUGAGGGAUGACGGUCCUAUGGAUUGUAAACCUCUUUUGUCAGGGAGCAAAGGGCGCCACGUGUGGCGUUUUGCGAGUACCCGAAGAAAAAGCAUCGGCUAACUCCGUGCCAGCAGCCGAGGUAAUACGGGGGAUGCGAUGGUUAUCCGGAUUUAGUGGGGUUAAAGGGUGCCCAGGCGGAAUGUCAAGUCAGCGGUAAAAUUUCGGGGCCCAACCCCCGCGUGCCGUUGAAAAUGGCGUUCUUGAGUGAGCGAGAAGUAUGCGGAAUGCGUGGUGUAGCGGUGAAAUGCAUAGAUAUCACGCAGAACUCCGAUUGCGAAGUCAGCAUACCGGCGCUCAACUGACGCUCAUGCACGAAAGCGUGGGUAUCGAACAGGAUUAGAUACCCCAGUAGUC
Molecule: ribosomal RNA, 459 nt
Filed under: uncultured bacterium
Lineage: Bacteria
Description: partial 16S ribosomal RNA
Rfam family: Bacterial small subunit ribosomal RNA
Source: RNAcentral